UCACUCUGGUGCCCUUCCUAACAACUGUCCCAUCGGGCAAUACAUCAUCCUCCGUUGCUUCUUUGGUAUCUGUAGGAACCGGUGGGUAAAGUCUCAUGGAUUCGCAAAGCGAAGCAUGCGUGUAAACCAUGUCCUUCACUUCAUCGUAUACCGGAGAUUCAGACUUUUCUUUGAUUUCUUCUACGAUUUUCUUCUCAACAUUUGGGUUGCCAAAGACUAACCAGAAGAACCAUGUUAAUGCGGCAGAGGUUGUGUCUCGGCCUGCCAAGAUAAAGCUGAUAACAAUGUCGGUGACGAAAUCUUCAUCGGAAUGGCCUGAGCUUAAGAAUCGUGACAAGAGAUCAACUGAAUCAAUCGAUGAUUUCUCUUCCAGUUCUGCCUUCUUUUCUUUGAUGAUCUGCUUAGCAAAUUCCCGAAUUUGAUCAACAGCUUCUUUAAGUUUCCUCUCUGAUCCAACAUUCAAAGCCCGUUUAACCUUCCAAAUCAAGGGAACAGGGGUAUUGAAUCUUUCACUACUGAUUCGCGUGGCAUCGUCAAAAGCAACAGCAAAUUCGGCCUCCGGCAGGGAUGGCAGCAAGUACGCAGGAUCAUACCCGAAUGCUAUCUUGCAGAUGUUAUCAAAAGCAAAUCUUUGAAGAAUGUCUUGAAAAUCAAGAACAGUUUUAUUAUCGGCGGCGGCGGCCAGAAUUGGAACGAGACGUUCGGAGAGCUCCGUGUCCACCACGGUCUCAACAAAUUUACGGAGCGACUUGGUGUUAAAUUCGUGACUGGAGACUUGCCUUUGAAACUUCCAGUUGUCACCAUCCGUAUUGAAAAUGCCUUCGCCAAGGAAAUCCGACAGAGUUCUGCGGAAAACAUCGCCCUUUCCAUAAACAUGGAAAUGGGACUUGAGAAUGUGUUGCACUGUGGAGGGGUUUGCCGUCAAGACCAAGCGGUGGCCCAGAGGACGGUGAAGGGUAAAGGUUAAAUUGGGGGAGCUUCUCACAAUGUCGGAUGUCCAUUGAACUCGCCUCUCGUUAUUUGCCAAUAUUGAAAAGUAUGAGCCGAUCAACGGAUAUGAUCUUGGGAUUUUACUGGACUUAGAUGCAAAGAGGUUUCUCACGAAAGUUUUGAAGUACACGAAGAAAAAGCAGAACAGAGGAAUGAGGCAUAAGAGAAGAGAUGCUGAGAGCUCAAAGGUCGACAUUCUAAAGAUGCAGUAGAAAAUCAAUCUUGAAAUCGUUGGAUUAUGCAAUUGGAGUUGGGAAUGAGGAGCUGCCACCCAGUGGGGGUACAAUUUAUAGUGGUUGCGUCGUCCGCUUGCUGCUCGGGGCUUACCUUUCUGGAUCGUUUAUUUUCCCCCGUCCUUUCGUCAAUACUUCGAAAAUUCUUUUGUAACCAGACUAAUAAGACAGUGCGAUUCGAUCCUUCCUCACAGGAUUCUCAAAGUCGAUUACACGUCAUUGUAGUUUUAAGCCUAUGUUUUUUUUUAAUAUUUAAAAAAAGUGGUUUGUGCCCUUAGCAUAAAAACAUGAGUGUCGAGGUAUAACUUUAUAGUAUCGUUUUGUUAUAGAGAAAUUAUUUGGUGGAGUAACAAACAUAAUUUUUUAGAAGUUAGAAAUAAUUUUUUAGAAGUUAGAUGCUGGGUCAAUGCAGCCUAGAUUUUGCACUCGAAAAAGUUAAUUUAAUUUAGUUGAAUGACAAUGCGACUAUUUUCUAACAUAAAUGAAAAUGUGUUUAUGAUGCAAGCGAAAUAUAAUUUAAAAUAAUAAUGGUAUCCAAACAAACCCAUUAAUUUAUUGUUUUCAAAAUGUCGCGUUGAAGGAGGAAUUCAGAUAAUUGAUGUGUUUGGAAUAAAUAUGCAGGCGUAGAGAUCCCCUGCCUCCUCUCUAUUUCUUUAAGUUUCAUCCUCCCCCGUCGAAAAAAAAUUUAAAAAUAAAAAAGGGAAACACCGAGGAGAAUAAAUUUCCCCAAAGCUUGGACAUCUUUUGGAUUAACUUCAAGUUUAGAAACUUUAUCUCUUAAUUAACCUUUAAAGAACUUUAAACCUCGUCUAAAUAUGUUGAAUAAGUAUUUACUAUACUGUAAUUUAUAAAUAGAUGGCGUGUGUGUGGAUAGUGGAUUACCUGUAAGUUGUAACCGUAAUCUGAACAGGGAAGAAGAUGAGAUGGCGCAAGUGCCGUCGUCAGCCAUACUUUUUUCUGAUUCGUAUACUAUACUGGUCAGUACCUUAGUGGGGUGUUUUGAGGAAAUGUUCAAGAACUAAACUUCUAGGUUAAGGUUCAAACACGUGUACCUGCAGUCAGAUUUGAAACUAGUGCACCUCUUGACUUUAUUUUAGAAUUGGGAUUUUCUCCCUUAAUUCAGUUAGACCCUCCCCUCAUAUGGAUUAGAGCGGUCUCUAAUGUAGGAUGGUGAAACGGGUUGAUCGAGUAAAAAAAAAAAAAAAAAUUGAUCAAGUCUAAGAUGUUUACGUGCCCAACUACGCUGGUCAAUUCGUCAUUGAUGACGUUGGAUCCUGAAGCACAAAAGGUUAUCCAUUUCUACUUAUUACGGCUACUGAUUACUGAUUAAUAGUACACUGCUUAAUGCGUUACCGUAUUCGAAUUGAAUUUAAAAAUUUUGAAAUCGAUAAUUCGGAAUUCAAAAUUGAAAUCGUAUUUUUUGAUUUCGAAUUAUGCAAAUUUGGUUUGAAUUCGAUAAUGACAUUUUUCAAAUCGAAAUUUCUACUUCAAUUUCAAAUUCAUUUUGCAUAUAUAUAUAUAUAUAUAUAUAUAUAUAUAUAUAUAUAUAUAUAUAUAUAAUAUUCACAUAUAUAUAUGUAAUAUAACAUUUAUAUUAUAAUAAUAAUUUUUAUAUUCUUGAAUUUGAUGAUUCAAAAUUCCAAUUUCGAUUCCAAUUUCGUUUUUCAUAUAUAUAUAUAUAUAAUAUAAUAUUGAUAUAAUAAUAAUAAUUUUUAUAUUCCUGAAUUCGGUGAAAUCGAAAUUUAUCGAAUUUCGAAUUGAAUUCUGAACAAAUUCAAAUUCGGAGUUGAUGAAUUCGAAAUUUCGAAUUUGGUCAGAAAUUCCGAUGCCAAAUUUCUGAAAAAAUUUCGAUUUCAAAGUUCCGAAUUACCGAUUUCGAUUUCGAUUCACAACCCUAGCUAAUGGGUCCGCGGCUGGUUCUAUAAUUAGUAUAGUUUGUCCCCAAUCCGACGUUGUCUAAAAAGUAAAACCACUUGUGCGUUAUCUCCAUUGGCGUCCCAAAAAAAAAAUAAAAUUAAUUUGGCCAACUUUUGAGUGAUUAAUUGUUUUUCGUCAUACUAAAGUAUUACUACCCAAAUAAGUAGCCAAGUUGACUCUUGCUUAAUUGGCACUGCCAGAUUCAUCAUCUAGGGUUUACGCACGUGAAGUUUACAAAGUUAUACUAAUUCAAUUUCUAUCUUUAUUUAAGAGAGUACCAAAAAAAUAAAAAUAAAAAUCUCAGGAUGAUGCAAAGGAGAAAGAGAGGGGACUUGAAAUCGGAACAGGGCACCUUCACAAUUAAUUAAAUUGAGACAUUCCCUUACUGAGCUUAAAGGUUGCAUGGAAUAUGCACAGAUGCGACUCAUCUCUAAACUGGUAAGCAAGGGAUUCAAACCCAAGCAAAUUCUGCUACUACCCCAUUUCAAUUCAAUGUGGUUUUUCGUAGUUUAUUGUUAAUAAUCCGACAGCUUAGCCGUAAUCCAUUGAUCCGAAGAAUCGUUUCGCUCUCACCCAAACCCAGUCAUGAUAGAAGCGGCAAAAGUGGCCGACGCCCAAGAACUUUUAGAUGAGAUGUACUCGACAGCUAAGAAAGAAAAGGUUGCUGAAGCAUGAGAGUGACCAGAGCUGAAGCAUCGCGACAAGAGAUCAACCGAUUCUAAUUCUGAUUUUUCUUUCAGUUCUUGCUUCUUUUCUUUAGAAAAAUCACGAACUUGAUGGACAGCUGACCUGAGUUUCUUCUCUGAGCCAAUAUUUAAGGCCCGCUUGACUUUCCAAAUCAAAGGAAAGGGCGAACUGAAUAUGUGAGCCAAUAUUCAAUGCUGCACAUCUGCAUUAGAUAUGGCAAGGCAAAUUAAUUAAGCAUAAGAAAUUACCUCAAAUCCUUAACCUUUGGAACAAUUUCAAAAUAGCAACUGUUCAAUUAUAACUUCUAAUCAACGGAAUGUAUACUGAAUUCCUUAUCGUACGGCAGAAGUAACAUUACAAGUAGCAUUUUUUCCUGAGAAAUUAGUCCUUGCUAUUUUUGGGGGAAAAAUUUUUCAGUGGCGUUGACCAGAUUUCACUAAUUCUUUGCCGGUCGGUUUUCUAAGUAAGCUUGGACCGGACACCCAACCGAUUUUCGGUUCAUCAGUUGAACCAGCCAGCAUCUGCAUGGACCGGACAUUGUUCCAUUCCUUCUCACCCGUACAAUAAUAUGCCCUAAUUUGUUAGUAAGCACCAGAUCAGCUCUCAUUUCUUGAGCAAACUCCAACAUGAUACCUACAGCUACUCUCAAUACAUAUGCACAUAAGCACAUACGGAAGCACCAGAACUUGCAUCGUAUCAAUCAAUCUCUUUCUACCCCCACUGCCCAGAACAAAAUCAAGACCACGAUGAAGGCCACGGAGCAGAUAAAGAUCAUUGUAGAAUUUCGUGCAUGGCAUCCAGGUAACAAAAGGAAGCUAACAGUUGGAGCUUCUCAGAAUGGAGAAACCAACACAAUGUGCAUUGAAUGAAUCAGCCCGACUUCAAAACUACUCCGAGGACUUUUCCGCAUUUACAUAGUGCCCGAACUUUGCACUUGGGAUCCUCGGUGACAUGUUUUCUAUGCCAACCCAAUGCCACCAAUAGUGUUGCGCCAAGUGUCAUGUUAUUAUUUACACUUGUGUUAAACCAAGCCAACUUGAAUUAUUAGAAAAUUAAAGUGUAAAUAAUAACAUGACACUUGGCGCAACACUAUUGGUGGCAUUGAGUUGGCAUAGAAAACAUGUCACCAAGUGCGAACUUUGGGAGGCAAUUAAAAACCAUAUACACAGUAAAAUUGAUCAAUAUCCAAAUUCUCUUUAUUUUAUAUAAUUAAGGCUAAUAGUCUUUUGAAAAAGAAAAGAAGGCUAAUAGUCACAUACUAAUAACUCUAAAAAAAAGAAGGAAAAAAACCGUUGAAAGCCAUUAAUUUACGCAUUAAUUAAAGUACUAGUAAGUUACACUACACAAUACAGAAAUAAGUAAUCUGAUAGGUUCAGUCAAUUGAAAAGUCAAAUGACUAUGACCGUAACAACACGUUCAACAGUAUCCUACCCUCCCAAAAAUUCUCACUGGGAAACCACCCUUCAUCUUGGAGGUCAAGUACGCCAUGAACACCGGCUCCACUCCUUCCUCUAUUGCCGGCACCACCUUAAAUCGCCGCAGGACACCAGCAACCACCCUCUUCAUCUGCAGGAAAGCCAUCUCCUUUCCAAGACAAAUCCUUGGGCCAGCCUGAAAUACAGGGUAGGUGUACGAGUCUUUACCAAUAAAGUUCCACAUUCCGCUCAGCCCAUCCUUCUCCAACCAUCUCUCUGGCUUGAAUUCUGCCCAAUCCGAACCCCACACGUCCUCUAUCCUACCCAUUGCAUAGGGAUGAUAAGCCACCCUGGUGCCCUUCCUAACAACUGUCCCAUCGGGCAAUACAUCAUCCUCCGUUGCUUCUUUGGUAUCUGUAGGAACCGGUGGGUAAAGUCUCAUGGAUUCGCAAAGCGAAGCAUGCGUGUAAACCAUGUCCUUCACUUCAUCGUAUACCGGAGAUUCAGACUUUUCUUUGAUUUCUUCUACGAUUUUCUUCUCAACAUUUGGGUUGCCAAAGACUAACCAGAAGAACCAUGUUAAUGCGGCAGAGGUUGUGUCUCGGCCUGCCAAGAUAAAGCUGAUAACAAUGUCGGUGACGAAAUCUUCAUCGUAAUUGCCUGAGCUUAAGAAUCGUGACAAGAGAUCAACUGAAUCAAUUGAUGAUUUUUCUUCCAGUUCUGCCUUCUUUUCUUUGAUGAUCUGCUUAGCAAAUUCCCGAACUUGAUGAACAGCUUCCUUAAGUUUCCUCUCUGAUCCAACAUUCA
This 6049-nucleotide long non-coding RNA is filed under the name Coffea arabica (coffee). RNAcentral's name for it is "long non-coding RNA (CARA_LNC000801)". Lineage: Eukaryota; Viridiplantae; Streptophyta; Magnoliopsida; Gentianales; Rubiaceae. The record is from RNAcentral.